AGAUUGAACGCUGGCGGCAUGCCUAACACAUGCAAGUCGAACGGGAGUAGCAAUACUCUAGUGGCGGACGGGUGAGGAAUACGUAGGAAUUUGCCCUUAAGUGGGGGAUAACCCGGGGAAACCCGGAUUAAUACCGCAUGACCUCGAAAGAGCAAAGUGGGGGAUCGCAAGACCUCACGCUUUUGGAGAAGCCUACGUCGGAUUAGCUAGUUGGUGAGGUAAUGGCUCACCAAGGCGACGAUCCGUAACUGGUCUGAGAGGAUGAUCAGUCACACCGGAACUGAGACACGGUCCGGACUCCUACGGGAGGCCAGCAGUGGGGAAUAGUUGGACUAAGUGGGACCGCAAGCCUGA
Molecule: ribosomal RNA, 354 nt
Filed under: uncultured soil bacterium
Lineage: Bacteria
Description: bacterial SSU rRNA
Rfam family: Bacterial small subunit ribosomal RNA
Source: RNAcentral